Molecule: ribosomal RNA, 253 nt
Filed under: uncultured bacterium
Lineage: Bacteria
Description: partial 16S ribosomal RNA
Rfam family: Bacterial small subunit ribosomal RNA
Source: RNAcentral
UACGUAGGGGGCUAGCGUUGUCCGGAAUCAUUGGGCGUAAAGCGCGUGUAGGCGGCCCGAUAAGUCCGCUGUGAAAGUCCAGGGCUCAACCCUGGGAUGCCGGUGGAUACUGUCGGGCUCGAGUCCGGAAGAGGCGAGUGGAAUUCCUGGUGUAGCGGUGAAAUGCGCAGAUAUCAGGAGGAACACCAAUGGCGAAGGCAGCUCGCUGGGACGUGACUGACGCUGAGGAGCGAAAGCGUGGGGAGCGAACAGG